UUGAACGAAAUCAAUUCCGAGUAGCUGAUGCUGACCUCUCCAAAAAGAUGAACCGGAAAUACAUCAAGAAACCAAAGCCUAAACCUGGUGAGAGAGAGAAGGCAAAGGGAUAGAUGGCAAACCGGCGGCACUUCUUGGAAUCAAAAAGGUCCCAAUCGCUUCCUUUUCAGCAAUUUCAGGCACUUUUAACUCUCUUUCCAAAGAACUUUUCAUCUUUCCCUCACGGUACUUGUUUGCUAUCGGUCUCGCGCCAGUACUUAGCUUUAUGUGAAACCUACCACACAUUUUGCGCUCAAAUCCCGAUGAACGCGACUCUAUAAAAGCGUACCGUACGUGGAACAAAAAACGCAGGGGAAGGACGGGAUUCUCACCCUCUAUGAUGUUUUUCCCAAGAAACUUAACCCUGCGCUUCCACUGGUAACGCCUCUCGAGGCUACAAGUCAACAGCUCGGAAAGAGCAGUUGAUUUCCACUUUGAGCUGAUCCCGGUUCACUCGCCGUUACUAAGGGAAUCAUAGUUAUUUUCUUCUCCUCCGCUUAAUAAUAUGCUUAAGUUCAGCGGGUAACCUCGCCUGAUUUCAGGUCUG
Molecule: ribosomal RNA, 586 nt
Filed under: Toxoplasma gondii ME49
Lineage: Eukaryota; Apicomplexa; Conoidasida; Eucoccidiorida; Sarcocystidae
Description: Toxoplasma gondii rRNA TGME49_460940
Source: RNAcentral